This 96-nucleotide transfer RNA is filed under the name Phycicoccus sp. HDW14. Its description in RNAcentral is "tRNA-Sec". It matches the Rfam family "Selenocysteine transfer RNA". The record is from RNAcentral. Lineage: Bacteria; Bacillati; Actinomycetota; Actinomycetes; Micrococcales; Intrasporangiaceae.
GGAGGUGUCAGGGCUCCUGGUGGUCCCCGCGGUCUUCAACACCGACGAGCCCGAGUCGCUCGGGCUGGCGGGUUCGAUUCCCGUCCACCUCCGCCA